Molecule: ribosomal RNA, 253 nt
Filed under: uncultured bacterium
Lineage: Bacteria
Description: partial 16S ribosomal RNA
Rfam family: Bacterial small subunit ribosomal RNA
Source: RNAcentral
UACGUAGGGUGCAAGCGUUGUCCGGAAUUAUUGGGCGUAAAGAGCUCGUAGGCGGCUUGUCGCGUCGAAUGUGAAAACCUGCAGCUCAACUGCAGGCUUGCAUUCGAUACGGGCAGACUGGAGUACUGCAGGGGAGACUGGAAUUCCUGGUGUAGCGGUGGAAUGCGCAGAUAUCAGGAGGAACACCGGUGGCGAAGGCGGGUCUCUGGGCAGUAACUGACGCUGAGGAGCGAAAGCGUGGGGAGCGAACAGG